AAGUCGUAACAAGGUCUCCGUAGGUGAACCUGCGGAGGGAUCAUUAACACGUUAUCCACGUAUCAACACCCGCGAACUGUUUGUCCCGCAUUGUGAAGGGAGAUAAGGCUUGAGAGCGUAUCGGUCGCUCGAGAGAUUGCUUCGGCCUUCGGGUCGGAGGGAGACCUUCACAGUGCCGCCGAUUACCAAAACUACCAAAUUAUUUUAACUCAUGUAACAUUUGUCCUAAUACUUUCUACGUUAACGCGUGGAAAACAAAACAACUAAAGCACAACUCUUAGCAACGGAUAUCUUGGUUCUC
This 301-nucleotide unclassified non-coding RNA is filed under the name fungal sp. RNAcentral describes it as "partial internal transcribed spacer region". The stretch from base 1 to 46 matches the Rfam family "Eukaryotic small subunit ribosomal RNA", at positions 1786 to 1831 of the family's 1831-position model. Lineage: Eukaryota; Fungi. The record is from RNAcentral. RNAcentral also lists the same sequence under 1 other name.